This 501-nucleotide ribosomal RNA is filed under the name uncultured bacterium. RNAcentral describes it as "partial 16S ribosomal RNA". It matches the Rfam family "Bacterial small subunit ribosomal RNA", at positions 29 to 523 of the family's 1533-position model. The record is from RNAcentral.
AUUGAACGCUGGCGGCAUGCCUUACACAUGCAAGUCGAACGGCAGCACGGGUGCUUGCACCUGGUGGCGAGUGGCGAACGGGUGAGUAAUACAUCGGAACGUACCUUAUCGUGGGGGAUAACGCAGCGAAAGCUGUGCUAAUACCGCAUACGCCCUGAGGUGGAAAGCGGGGGAUCGAAAGACCUCGCGCGAUUAGAGCGGCCGAUGCCUGAUUAGCUUGUUGGUGGGGUAAAAGCCCACCAAGGCGACGAUCAGUAGCUGGUCUGAGAGGACGAGCAGCCACACUGGGACGGAGACACGGCCAAGACUCCGACGGGGGGCAGCAGUGGGGAAUUUUGGACAAUGGGGGCAACCCUGAUCCAGCAAUGCCGCGUGAGUGAAGAAGGCCUUCGGGUUGUAAAGCUCUUUUGUCAGGGAAGAAACACCGGCUCUAACACAGUCCGGGAAUGACGGUACCUGAAGAAUAAGCACCGGCUAACUACGUGCCGGCAGCCGCCGUAA